This is a long non-coding RNA of Oreochromis aureus, 588 nucleotides long. RefSeq lists it as uncharacterized. The record is from RefSeq and is a predicted model, not a curated record. NCBI's taxonomy places the organism in Eukaryota, Metazoa, Chordata, Actinopteri, Cichliformes, Cichlidae. The transcript is spliced from 4 exons.
CAGCUCCCCUAAGUUGGUAACAGACUCAAACUCUAGCUCAAGAGCCAAGUUCGUUCUAUGCUUACCUUGUCAUCUUCUCCCGUAGCUCUAUUGGCCCGCUACACCAUGACAUCAUCACUAAGGUUCACCUUCUGGACUCUGGACACAAACCCUCUCAGGAUUCUCAGCAACACUCCUAGGAGCAUCAUCAACCUGUUGAUGUCGAUCUAGGAGGCUGGUUUACUUGGAUCUCUGCCUCUCACCUCCGAGUCUCAGCCCCCUCCUACCCAAAGACCUUGGCGAAAUGUUGAUUGAGCUUUUGUGGACCAGAUAGCCUUGGAGUGGCGGGGAAAAAAAGAAGAAGUGAAGGACUUGUCUGCACUGACAGAGGAAGGCCCAGGGAGAAGUGAGGAGAUGGAAUUGGAUUUGAAGCUCUGAGGCAGGAUAUUAUCCAGGAAGUGUUGACGAACAUACAGGUGUUUUUCUGCAAGUGUGCUGCAGUGUUUCAAUGCUUCCUUCUUUGUGUCUGUCCAGUAACACCAUUUUUUAUUAGUGCUUUUUUAUAGUAAACAUCAAAUAAAGUUACAGAUAUUUCUCUGGCUGUUUUGU